This 305-nucleotide ribosomal RNA is filed under the name uncultured bacterium. RNAcentral's name for it is "bacterial SSU rRNA". It matches the Rfam family "Bacterial small subunit ribosomal RNA", at positions 338 to 660 of the family's 1533-position model. The record is from RNAcentral.
CCUACGGGAGGCAGCAGUGGGGAAUAUUGCACAAUGGGGGAAACCCUGAUGCAGCGACGCCGCGUGAAGGAAGAAGUAUUUCGGUAUGUAAACUUCUAUCAGCAGGGAAGAAAAUGACGGUACCUGACUAAGAAGUCCCGGCUAACUACGUGCCAGCAGCCGCGGUAAUACGUAGGGGGCAAGCGUUAUCCGGAUUUACUGGGUGUAAAGGGAGCGUAGGCGGUGCAGCAAGUCAGAAGUGAAAGCCCGGGGCUCAACUCCGGGACUGCUCUGGAAACUGUAAAGCUGGAGUGCGGGAGGGGCAG